This 1038-nucleotide long non-coding RNA is filed under the name Anas platyrhynchos platyrhynchos (common mallard). RNAcentral's name for it is "lncRNA (ENSAPLG00000022583.1)". Lineage: Eukaryota; Metazoa; Chordata; Aves; Anseriformes; Anatidae. The record is from RNAcentral.
AGAAAAUAGAGAAAAUAGAAGAGAGGAAAUAGAAGAAAAAGAGAGGAAAUAGAAGAAAAAGAGAGGAAGUAGAAGACGGCGGAGGCAGAGUUAAAAAACGGGAGGCGAGCCGGAGCGUGGUGAAGCUGACCGAAAAUCGGCGCAAAUUGGCGGAAUCGGCCCCAAAACGGAGCAGCGGAGACGCCGGGGCGCGGUGAGGGCCCCCCCUCGGUUUCGGGGGGGGGUCGUGGGGGUGGCGAGGGAGGGCGCGGGGCUCUUGUCGUUGCAGGCGCCGUUUUUUUGGCCACAAAGCGCCCCAAAACUCACCGCCGCGGCGUAGAUAUUUGGGUCAAAAUGGGAAAGAAACGGUGAAAAAAAAAAAUCGGAACAAAAAAACAAAAAAAAAAGGAACAAAAAAAAAAAGGAAAAGAACAACAACAAAAAAAAGCAAAAUCAACCCAAAAUCCAGCAUCAUCACGCUCCGGCUGUAAAAUAUUGUAGGUACCGGUGUCGCCGCGCCGCAGAGUGCAGCCACGGCGCCCCAGCCGCAGUAAAGAGGAGCGGGCGCCCCGACCCCGCCGCCUUUUUGGGGGAAAAAAGGCCAAAAAUGGGUCUGCUGGGCGCUGGUUCCCGGCUUCUCCGCACAGCUCAGUGAAAACCGCAGGAAAAUGCCCCAAAAACGAGGACGCCCGACCCGAAAAAGGCAGAGCCCGGCAGCAAAACCUCCCAAAAACGUGUAGGAAAGGGAGAAAAAAAAAUAGGUAUUUCUGGUGGUUUGAACCCAAAAAAAAACGGGGGCGUGGAGCAUCCAGGUGGCGGUGGUGGUUUUUCGCCCAGGGAGGGUGUAAUUUUACCAAUUUAGCCCCAAUUUUGCUUGGUUUUUCCCCUCUGGAUUCACCAAGGAAAAAAAAAAGCAAAAAUAUAAAAAAAGGCCCAAAGUGCCUCAAAAUGAGCAGCUGGCGCCAGGCCCUUCCGGCAGCGGCGCUCGGCCGGAUCCCUUCAGUGGGAUUUUGAGUGGAAAACGUGGCUUUUUGGUAAACUCAGGGCUCGAGCCCUUCG